Long non-coding RNA from Etheostoma spectabile (orangethroat darter), 389 nucleotides. RefSeq lists it as uncharacterized. The record is from RefSeq and is a predicted model, not a curated record. The transcript is spliced from 3 exons. Lineage: Eukaryota; Metazoa; Chordata; Actinopteri; Perciformes; Percidae.
AUUACACUCCAUGGAGUAACAACAUGUAACUUAAUAGCCUAUCAUUGCCUAGAGCUAGGCUAGAAUCAUUUUCCCCACAGGGUAGCAUCGGGUCAUAGAAAUAAUGUUAUACGUUAGUGAACAGUGGAAAAUGAUCAACAAUCCACUGAUGAGUGAGUGAGGUGCUUAUUGGCGAAUGUGUCCAGCAAACAUUGAGAUUAAGUCAGUUAAGUGGGAGAGAGGAUGGGAUGACAGCCGCAAGUCGUAACCAAACCCGCGGCCACUGCAACAAGGACUGAGCCUUUGCACACUCAACCAGGCUCCCAGGAUCCACCCUCUCAUUCACCAGUUUGCUGGUGUGGAGCGUCCAAGAACAACUCUGUUGUGAAUGAGCUGCCACUGCCCAUCAA